GGGGGGGCAGCCGCUGAAGAGGCAGCAGUUUUACUUUAAAUGAAAAUCACACGAAAAUAUUUUUCCAACUCCUGGCUUUUUUGAGACAUCACCAGAAAGCACUGCCAGCUGUGAUUACGUCUAAUGUGAGAGCAUGAACUAAUUUAAGAGGUGAGAGCUGAAUAAUGAACCUACAUCCAGUGGAGCAGCCAAGAGUAGCAGCUCUCCCCGUGGAAGGCACCGGGAAAAACACCCCUGUAGAACUAACCUCAUACCCUUCCACAAAUGUUUACCAAGUGCCAGCCUUGUCUGCCCGGUUGCAACCAAGAACAAACCUGGAACCUGUUUGCUCGGAGCACACAGCAGGGUUGAGAUCACCUCCAGGGAUGUGGUUGCCUCCUGGUCUCUCAUUGUGGUAAGGUGAUGCCCAGCCCUGAACUGCCUUCUAUAUGCCAGUGACCCUCCAUUUUGUAUCUCCCAUCUGAGCCUUUUUCUGAGCCAGACCUGUCAUCCUAUGGGCCUAUUGGACCUUUUUGCUUAUGUAUCUUUAAGGUACAAUUAACCUUCCAGAUCCUUCUUUUCCUAUCCCAGUGACAAUGACUGUGGCCACCUAGAUAUGCAGUCUAAGGACCCCCACACCUAACCUGAUUGUAUAUGUCCUGUUGUUUAAGCCAUUCUCCUUAGACUGUUAGGGGCUCAUUAUCUCCACCUGGGCAACUUACAGCAUCUUCCUAAUGUAUCAUUCAGGGAUUAGUGAAGGAUCGCCUGAUACUGUUUAUUCUUUCACUUGAUGAAUAGCCAUCAAAGCCCUGAAAUAUGUAACCUCCACUUUUCUCCCAUGUAAGUGAGAUUUCAAAUGUCGUAUUACCUCCGAUUCUCCCAUCCCUUUUUCAUGUAGUAUAUAUUCAAAAAAUAAUGAAAAACAAUUUAGUGUUAAUAGUCCCAAAUUGUGAGGACUAAAGGAGAUUAUGUACAUGAAAAGGAAAAUCCAUUAGAGACUUCAAAAGCAGUCAUGUUUAUUUUUAGGCUUAUUAUGUUUUGGAGUCAGAAUCCUUUUAGCUGCAAGUGACAACACCAAUUCAAACUGGCUUAAGGAUUUCAUUUGGUUGAUGCAUAAAGCCUUGGAUAGAUCUUGCCAUUUAAGGCAUGAUUGGCCCUGUCAGUCAAGGUUACCAGGAUCUCUUUCCAGUAUUGGCAUCAUUUUCAGACAACCUGUUUCCAUAUAUGAGGCCCUUAGAGGUAUUACUAAGUCCUAGCAAGAAAAAAAAAGCAGUAUUUUUAGUCAAUAUUUGUAGCUGGAGUCCCAGAACCAUUCUUACAAGGGCAGCUGCAGUCACUUACCCUCUCUGGAGGUAGAGAAUGGACAGUUUGGUUGACUAAUCUUGGGCCUGGUCGCCAUCCCCUGCAAAGGGGUUUGUUGUGAGCUGCACAUAUUCUGGAAUAGAGGGACUCUCUAAAGAAAAUUAGAGAAGGGAUGCAGGACAGGCAGAAACCAUGAUGUCUACCUUAGCCCUUCUUACAGGUUUAACUGCAGUACAUUCCACACAGUAAGAAUGGUGAUGAGGAUGACAGAGGAAUAGAAGCAAUAGAUAUGUGUGUGGCUGUGAUCUUCAAGACCUCAGCUAAAUAGGAAGUCAGGUCUAUCAACCAUGAUGUUAUCUGAGGUUCUCUUUGAAGUCUAGAUGCACCUGAUACGGUAGGACUACAUGAAUCUAAAUCAACGGUCAUAACAUUUUAUUCUAAAAAAUUUUUUGCCAGUGUUCUGUUGGAAUUUUUUUUCUUUUCUUUUCUUUUCUUUUGUACCAAGCAUCAAACUCAGGACCUUGCACUUGCCAGGCAGGCGCAGGUGCCACUGAGCUAAAUCCUCAGCUCCUAAUUUUUAUCUUUUUAUUUUUUAGGUUCUCAGGAAGGUGAAGGUAAAAUUUUCAGUUCUUUCUGGACAUAUACCUAAAAUUCCUUAUUAUUCAUCAACUGAUGAAAAUUUGAGAGAGUCUAAAGAGUAAAAAGUAGUUUCAGAAAUGUACUGACUGUAGAAUUUAACUUUCUAAGGCUUUUCAGGUGUUGAAAUACUGGUAAAGUAUUAAAAAGCCACUUCUCUGAAGCUUUUAAAAUAACAAAGAUUUAGGAAACUGCAAGAUUACAAAUAAUGAAUUUAUACCACUACUAUUAUAUCUUUUACUUUUGGCUUUAAAUAUGGUAUCACAUUGUGGUGCAGUCAAAGGUUUAUUUCCUCUCCUGUGCUCUGAAUUUCCCACCACAGUGCAGUCUAAGAAAUGAAUGUAGCCGCAGCCUCCACCGAUGCUGUAUUCAUGGUUGCCCCGCUCCCCUCCUACUCCAUACCCUGGGAAAAAACGGCAACCUCCAUGGGAAUGAGCGCAUUUUCAGGAAAAGGGGGGUAUUUUCUUAAAGAAUGUGAAACAAACUCAUCCUUUUAUUAAAUCAAAAUGGAUUCGCUAAUGUUUAUACACAUCAAAUGGAGUUUUAUCUCUUUCCUCUUGUUCAAAGGCCCAGACAGUGCCAUUCCCUAGGGCUUGGUUCAUUUGCUCCUAAAGCAGAAGAGACAGUCCACUUUGUUCUGAAGAUUGUUAAUUUUAGGAUAUCAAGGGUCAAAGUCAUUUCAGGCUAAUUCCUAAAGUUAUACUAUAAAAUACAGGAAUGAUUCUAAGUUGUACAAAGUAUGAAAUACUGUAAUAUUUUAACUUUGACCAAAACCUUUACCUUCCUGGGUGUGUCUUUUUUGCCUAUUCAGAUUCAUAUUAAAUGCAACAUUUUUGCUGUUUAAAUUUUAAAAGUUAUGUUUAAAAAUUAACCUUAUAAUUGAACAUUUUUACUAAUACAGGAAAAAGACAGGAUUACUUUUUAAUGAAGGCCAGGUUUGUGGUAACAUUUUUAUUCUUUUAAAAAAAUUUUUCUUUUGAUCUUAAAAAAUAAAAGAACACAUUUAAAAUGCCUUUAGUUCUUACGUUAAUACCAAAUUAUGUAUUUUUUUAGUCUGUUUCAGAAGGAGAUACCGCCUUCUCAGUUAAAAGAUGCUGACACUAUUUUCAAAACAAUGCCUUGAAUCUGCUGUGGUGUGGGCAGGUAGGAAUUUUGUAUGAAGCUAUUAUUCAAGUAGAAGGAACUAAGGUCAAAGGCCAAAAAAAAACAUUUAAAAGUGUAUGUCUACAGAACUGCACCUGAGAGAAAACUAGAUAAUGUCACAAACUCGUUGGAAUUUUUCCAUGAAUUAUCUGUGUGCUGUUUAGGAUGGUUGGCUAUAGGGCCAAACCAAGGUUUAGUGAAUUCACCAAACAUUUAUGGGGUGCCAAAGUAUGCAAGACCUCAAACAUCAUGGUUAGAGGUAGCAAGCCAUGCAUAUUUGAAGAACCUCCACUUACACCUCUUCCUUUUGGUUCUACUCAGAAAGCCUCCUGAAAGUGUUAUCUUUGAUUAUUCUUUGUAUUUGUGUACCUUUAUCUUAUCAGAAGAUAGACAACAUUUAUACAUAUAAAAUUAAUAAAUUACCAAACAUUCGAACAAAUAGUUCAGUACAUAAUUCAAAUACAUUUGACAUUUAUCAAAGAAAUGCUGGGUGUUAUCAUCUAGGCAGAUAGCUGGAUUAACAUUUGGGGAAAGUUAUCACCCAUUUUUGAUAGGAAUCUCAGGGAAAUGUCCUGCAUCUCAUAGUCAUUGACGAUUGUAUGAAGACUUCCUACAGUUCGGAAAUCUCUUAGAAUGGGAUCUUAGAGAAAAGCCUGCCAACUAGAGGAUUUGUUAAACCAUGGACUUUCAAGUCACCAGAAGGACAAUGAAAGAAAAACUUUUAAAUAGAGAUUGAAGAGAGGAAAAUACAGAAAAAUAAGAGGUGAGGCCAAGAUGGGGUAAGUUCCUUUGACACCAUGCACACAAGACAGUGGUUCUUGUGUAGUGGCUCUAAAACCAGAAUGGAAGGAAGGGCUAAAGUCUCACUCCAGUGCUCGUUAGGGAUGCACAGAAAAAAAGAGGAAAGCAAAGGAAUAAACUACAAGCAAUUACACUCUACCAGGUACAGCAUUCACACCCCAAGCCUGACACUAGACUCUGCUGCUCCCUCUGGAAAUUGAUGUGGGCUUCAGUGCUGCUGCUGCCACAGCCAAAAUUGAGUCCCUGCAGUCUUGGCUUGUCCUGUGUCAUGCCAAGAGUCAACAGCAUCUGAAUGGUUGCACCUAGAUCACGUCUGAGCCCUAGCUGCAAGGGAGGCUGGGAAAGUGAGCAUCUGACGCCUAUGGAAUUGUUGGUCUCUGCCUCCUGUCAGUACUCAGGAGGUAGAGAAAUCCACAGCCAAGAGAUCACUUUAGAUGCUGGGUGAUGUCAAGGGUAACAGAAGGUGCAAAAAGGAUGACAAGUCCCCACUAGAACUUUCUUUCAAUACUCCUAAGCCCUAAUUAAGAGCUCCACUCAACAUGUAUCUAGGACAUGGCUGGAAAAAGCCUUGUGCUCAACUUUGAGAAGAAUUAAAUUAAAGGAAUGAUUACUAAGGGUGGGCAAGGUCUAGAGAACCACAAGAGACAGUGCAGCACUCCAGAACUGGCAACAGUAGGGAGCUUUCAACAUCCUGGGCCUGAAGAGGCAAGGGGAGGAAGCAUUUCCCAGAGCCAGAGGCAGGACUGCCUAACUGUGUGGAGAGAAUCAUUUAAAAUAAACGACCCAGCCCUGGGCACCUCCUCACCAAGAGGACAAGAGGAGCAAAUGCCACUCCUUCCUUUCCUGUGGUUCCCUGUUGAAGCUCCCCACCAGCCUGGCCAGAGACCAGAGGGCCAGGGAGCACAUGCAGGUAUGAGCUGCAGAAGAAGACUGGAGAGCAAAUGUGGAGAAAUAAACAGAAGAGGUUCUGCACUUACGGCUUCAUCGAUAUGUCACUGGCAUUUUUUCUUUUUUAAAUUCAGUAUCUCCUUUGGGGAUGUCCCUUUACAUUUUCAGUAGCUCAGCCCACAAGAUCAAUGGACUUAAAAUGUUCUUCUCAUCCUGAAUUUAACGAGAUGCUAUUUCCCCCUUGUUUGCUAUUUAGAAUGUUCUAUUGUAUGGUUCAACAAUCUGCACCAUUAAAGGUUAGCAAAUCCCAACCAGGACAUUUUUUUUCCCUUUCUGGGCUUGGGGAAAAAGGAGAAGAGGUGUGACCUGCACAGACAGCAUCAAAAAUCUCCUUUUCUGAAUCUUCCUGCAGAAAUCCUCUCUAUGUAUUGUCUCAGCACAGGAGAUUUCCUGUUGUUCAUCCCUGCCUCCUCCUCAUUAAUAUCCAGCCUUUUAAAUAAAGCAUGUACAAGAAUAGUCAAUAAAAUAAACCCCACAUGAUUACCAACAGUUGCAGGCCCAUGAGUUCCCCAAGGAUUCACCCACUGUAACCCCUCAUCCUUUGAAAGUACAUGAUAACUUGUGUUAGAGUAAUCAGUUAUUGGGCCAGGGAUUUAGCUCAGUGGUUCCAGUGCCUGCCUCCCAAGCACAAGCUCCUGAGUUUGAUCCCUGGUACCAAAAAAAAAAAAGUCACCAGUUAUUUAGUUUGGGAAAGAAUACCAAGGGGAAACCUUCAUCAUCAUCUUCAAGUAUAUGAUGUGUUCCUUCCCAGAGUAUGGAAAGCAAGUGUUUUCCCUGUCCUCAAUCAAGGGAGUGAGUACAGCACGAGGAAUAAAAUAGAAAUAAAAUAAUAAAAUGGUUGCACUUUGAAACUACAAUGUUAAGUGAAAUAAAUCAGACACACAAACUUGAAUAUUGCAUAGUUUCUUUUAUGUGAGAAAUUCAAAAUUUAAAUAAAGAACAAAAUAACAGAUAAUAGGAAGAUAGAUCAUUCUCAAAUGGGAAGGGGAUUAAGAGAGAAGGAGAAGGAGGGGAGGAUGCUGAAAAAAUUAAGAUGUUUUAUGUAUGUGUACCAACUCCACACAAAAAUGUAAACAUUAUGUAUUACAAACAUACUAAUAAAAACUGAUGAAGAAAACAAGCCUACAGCUGGGCAAAAUCAUUAACCACAAAGCCUAUUUUGCAAUAAAAUGUUGAAUAUUUGCCAAAAAAUAACAUUAAUAAAAGUCUUACUUUAAAAUGCAAAUGAAACCAAAUGUGGCAGCACACACCUGUAGUCCCAGCCCUCUGAGCAACUGCAGCAGGAGGAUCACAAGUUUGAGUCCUGCCUGGGCAACUUAACAAGAGCCUGUCUCAAAACACAAAAUAAAAAAAGCUGAAGAUGUAGAAUAGUGCAAAGGCCCUAGGUUCAAACCCUAGUACUACCACUAAAAAAAAUUGCAAAUGACAGAGAAAUACACACAGCAAAGUUGACUUCUAUGCUCUGGAAGUUUGAGCUAAUUAUUUCUAAAAUUAUUCAGGUGCUUUCACAUUUACUACCUAAAUUUUCUUUUGUUGUUGCGAUUUUUGCCAUGGCAUUCACUAAAAUUUGUUUCUUUAAAUAUUUUUUCUUAGGCUUCAUGUUGCAUAUAAAUGUAAAUUUUUGUCAUGUAGAUUGUCUCGUUUAACUUCCCUCAAAUAUCCAGCUGGCAGCUGAAUACCUCAAUUUGGAUUUCCCACCAACAUGUGCCACACUUACAUGUGCAGUUCAGAACCAGCAUGUGCAAUGCCGUGGUACCUUGGUUCACAAACUUAAUGUGUUUUAUGAUUUGGGGGAAGAUGGCUGCGUUUGUGUUUGUGUGGGGAACAUGACCAUGGUUGUGUUACCCAAUGUGGAGUUUGUGAACAGAAGCAAAGUCUUAUGUUACCACUUGUACAAUUCCUCUAUGGUUGGCUAUCACCCUUGGGUUACUGAAAAGCAUGGCAUGGCAUUCAAAUCUUUGUCCCUCAUUGUUCGUCUUGCUCCCCAGCCCAUAUCUCAUUGCUUCAUGGACUCUGAUCACUCUGAGCCACUUGAUAUUCCAUACCACUCAUGGGGAGCCCACACAUAGACACCAACAUGCUUUUGCACACACUUUUCCCUCAGCCUGAGUUGUUCUCCAUCCCAUCUGGCCUGGAGACCUUCUCUUCACCCUUCUAGUCCAAACACAGUCACUCAUUGUGUACUUGCAUUGUUUCUUGUGCAAAUAAUAGGGCAGAACAUCUGGCCAAAGGCUCCUGAUGGUCCAGCUGAGAAGUAGUGCAGAAGACUAGAUGAUGGCCAGGGAAAUGGAGUGGGCAGAGUCUAGGGUGGUGAUGGCAAACCUUUUAGAGCUUUCAAUGAUAACAAACAGCUGGCUGCAGCAUGCAUGUCAUAGAUUCUCCUCCACUAGUCUAGGGCAUACUCUUUGUGUAGAGUUUUCUAGACCUUCUGAUGGGUUGGCUGUGGGGACAAGAGGAGAGAAGAAAUCCAAAUCAGAGCAGGCAGCUCCAUCAGCAGGAACAAAUUACAGGGAAAACUACACCCUGGGACCCAACUUCAGUAAUUAUCACCUCUGUGUCAGUCUUGUUCCUUUACACCCCAACCUCCUUCCUCCUGCUGCCCAGCCCCACCCACACAAUGGCUUAUUUUGAAGCAAGUGCCAGACAUUUUAUAAUUUCACCUGUAAAUAUUAUGUCUGUAUUUCUAAAAUAAAAGAACUCUUUUUAAAAAAACAUAAUACCAUUAUCAUUUCUAAAAAAAAUUACUGAAGAAUGUAAACAAACAAAACUAAUACUAGUACUUUAUAUCAUUGGGUAUACGGGUAUACAGUACAUUUAGCAAUUACGUUUUCCCAAUGUGUUAUUUGUUGUUGGUUGUUUGUUUGAAAUGGAAUCUAAAUUGGCCUAUAGACAGUAUUGAUUUGUUGCUGUGUUUCCUAACUCCCUUUUAAUCUCUUCCCCCCUUACCUUUGUCUCUUCCAGUUUGGUUGUUGUCAUUAGUAAUGUUGCUGUCACUGAAGAAACUGGAUGUUCGUUCUGUACAAUGUUAGAAUUUCCUGAUUGCAUCACUGUGGUGUUGUUUAACUUGUUCUUGUGUCUCCUCUAUUUCCUGAGAAUUUAUUUUAUCAGAAACGGGAGUUUUGUUGCUGUUGUUGCCUUGGGGAAGGUCAGCAUGACCAUUUCAUAGAUGGUGUUUUAUAUGUUCAUCAAGAAGCUUAUCAUGUCUUAUUAUCUAUUUUUGUGAUGUUAGCAACCAUCAAUGUUUAUUACCUAUAUCUAUUCAUUUAUUAGACCUGUCAAAGUGGCAGUAUUCUGAUUGUAUCUUUUUUUUCUUCAUUUUCUGAGUGAGAUGUUCUGGAAAGAGGACAGUUCAUACAGAAAAAAUAGUAGAAGCUAUGUGUUUUAUAUUCCCCUUCAUAUACCAAUUUUCUAAAUAAUGAGUUGUUCCCAGGGGCCAGGGAUGUAGCUCAGUGGCAUUGUGCUUGCCUCGAAAGCCCAAGGUCCUGAGUUUGAUCCCUGGUACUGGAAAAAAAAAAAGAGUUAUUCCCUGUCAUCUUCCAAAGGUCAUGAAUGAAUGAAUGAAUUUACUUUUAUUUUAUCAUUAAUAUUAUUAAGGGAUUACUUGCUAAAUAUGUUUAUAUGUAGAUUGCAGUUAUAUUUAUUGAUAUCUAAAUUAUUCUGUCUUUGGUCAAUGGAAGCCAAAUCAAGUCAGCUCUAAACUACUUCUGAUAUGACCCUAAUUUCUUUUACAAGCUUCCUCCUUUCUGGUAUGUUUCAAGUUCAUCUUGUGUAUUUCCUGCUGCAGACCUGGAAUCAGCCAUUUCUCUUAGAAUUUCCAGGUUCCUUUCAAUGGGAAAUAUUGUUUAGAGACCACAAUCUGGGCAGUAAGUACACUCAUCGCUUCUCAGCUAGUUACUAUUUACAGUGGGCAAAGACAGAAUAUGUGUGUGUGUGAUUUUUUAAAGAAAUUGCAUGUCCAAUUCAAAUUCAGGAUAACCAUGGAUAUCCAUAAAGUGUCUUCUUUCUCCUGUGACGAAAAUCUCAAUUCUAAACAAUCCCAAUGUAAUUUCCAGUUUUCUCUAUUUCAUACUACACAAAAUCAACUUCAAAAUAAUUAGACAAAAACUAAAUUAACAAUAAACUAACUAUAACAGUUCAGUUUUUUUUCUUUGUCUUUCAG
This 8968-nucleotide long non-coding RNA is filed under the name Heterocephalus glaber (naked mole-rat). Its description in RNAcentral is "lncRNA (ENSHGLG00100033885.1)". Lineage: Eukaryota; Metazoa; Chordata; Mammalia; Rodentia; Bathyergidae. The record is from RNAcentral.